GACAAAUGUCUAUUGCAAAUUAUUCAUCCAGGCCUAAAAUACACAAGUUCUUGUGAAAGUUUUUACUUGAGCUUCAUGGCUUGACAACUUAAGAUGUUCAGAAGUUGAAGAAGAAAAAAUGUGAAGACAUUGUUUACAUGCUGUAUGGUGAGUGUAUUGGACGGGGAGCCCUGAAGUGUGUAUCAAGCCAAAUGGUGAGUUGACUGUAUAGUUACAUCCCUGGCCAUGAGCUUCAACUCAUAUCUGCAACUAGCACUACAUGGGCCGGAACAGUCAAAGGAGCAGAGAGAGGACGACUAGCACUACAUGGGGCGGAACAGUCAAAGGAGCAGAGAGAGGACGACUAGCACUACAUGGGGCGGAACAGUCAAAGGAGCAGAGAGAGGACGACUAGCACUACAUGGGCCGGAACAGUCAAAGAAGCAGAGAGAGGACGACUAGCACUACAUGGGGCGGAACAGUCAAAGGAGCAGAGAGAGGACGACUAGCACUACAUGGGGCGGAACAGUCAAAGGAGCAGAGAGAGGACGACUAGCACUACAUAACAGUCAAAGGAGCAGAGAGAGGACGACUAGCACUACAUGGGGCGGAACAGUCAAAGGAGCAGAGAGAGGACGUCUUGACUGCGGGAGGUGACAAAUGGCUGAGCGCACUCUCUCUGGCAGCAAGCAGUAAUUACACAGAAGAUAGCUAGCGGGAGGUCACUGAGCAUAUGUGUGUGAGCGUGUGUGUGUGUGUGUGUGUGUCUGACAGCUCACAGCUCUCAGAACUCUCUCUCCCCGAAUCCUGCACCGCACUGCACCGUACCAGACAACACGUCUUGGAAUGGACCGCAGGCCUCGGGCUGACAAUAACGACUCACACUAAUCCUGACCCCCUCCCUUUACGCGGAGUCCAGCUCCAGUGGUCAUCAGUUAAACACAACAGAGAUUAACAGUCUCUUGAAGGGCUUAUUCAAGUCUUAAGGAAGCAGUCAGAAGAAUACUUCUUGGACUUUGUCAUCUGUAAUCUGUACAUUUCCAUCUAGCUUCCUUCAUUAAUUGGGAGAGUUCCAAAGAAUGACAGGUUUUGUGUUUGUACUGCACAAAGCCAGGAGAGGGUGGACCAUAUGUUGAUCUCUCUUGCAGCACCUUUGAACAAAAUGAGGAGACUGGAGCAUUAGCGUAACUGUAAAGUGAUUCUGUAGCUCUACCUUUAGCCUGUAUGAAGGGGCUUGUUGUAGUAUUCUGCUGUGCGAUGCGUUUCCAAAGGAACAUUCCAGAUUGGCAAUGCUGGAGCCUGCUAGCCCUCUCCACUGAGAGAGUGCAUUCGACCACUAAAGUAUUAAGUGCUUACACAGGGGUGAGCACUUAGUAUUCUUACAGCUGAGUGCUUGCCCUUACACUCUGUGUCAGACUAUUAAAGACAGCCUGCAAUAGCAGCUCGUGCCAGAGUUGCAACGGUUCUCAGAGUGCACAGUCUGCCUGCUGUUAUCAGGGCCGUAACAGGCCGUGCCAUCGCACAGCUUGGCUGCCUCUUAUCAGUGGGAACAGGCAGGGGGCUGUCAAAGCAUCAGGGCAGCUUCCCAGAAAGAGAACAGCCAGCAGCCGCCGUGAAGAUCACUACGUCAUUUCAUUUAAA
Long non-coding RNA from Alosa sapidissima (American shad), 1620 nucleotides. RefSeq lists it as uncharacterized. NCBI's taxonomy places the organism in Eukaryota, Metazoa, Chordata, Actinopteri, Clupeiformes, Clupeidae. The record is from RefSeq and is a predicted model, not a curated record. The transcript has 2 exons.